CCAGGGCGGGGGUCUGGGCUUUAGGCAGGUAGUAUUUAGUUUCACAAUGUUUGGGGACCUGUUUGAAGAGGAAUAUUCCACUGUGUCUAAUAAUCAGUAUGGAAAAGGGAAGAAAUUAAAGACUAAAGCUUUGGAGCCACCUGCUCCUAGAGAAUUUACCAAUUUAAGCGGAAUCAGAAAUCAGGGUGGAACCUGUUACCUCAAUUCCCUUCUUCAGACUCUUCAUUUCACACCUGAAUUCAGAGAAGCUCUAUUUUCUCUUGGCCCAGAAGAGCUUGGUUUGUUUGAAGAUAAGGAUAAACCCGUUCGAAUCAUCCCUUUACAGUUACAGCGCUUGUUUGCUCAGCUUCUGCUCUUAGACCAGGAAGCUGCAUCCACAACAGACCUCACUGACAGCUUUGGGUGGACCAGUAAUGAGGAAAUGAGGCAACAUGAUGUGCAGGAACUGAAUCGAAUCCUCUUCAGCGCUUUGGAAACUUCUUUAGUUGGGACCUCCGGUCAUGACCUCAUCAAUCGUCUGUAUCAUGGAACCAUUGUUAACCAGAUUGUUUGUAAAGAAUGUAAGAACGUCAGCGAGAGGCAGGAAGACUUCUUAGAUCUAACAGUAGCAGUCAAAAAUGUAUCUGGUUUGGAAGAUGCUCUCUGGAACAUGUAUGUAGAAGAGGAGGUUUUUGAUUGUGACAACUUGUACCACUGUGGAACUUGUGACAGGCUGGUUCAAGCAGCAAAGGUAAAGACAGAUACCUGCUUUUUCCCAGGGUCCCCACUUUGUAGUUAGUACAAGU
RNAcentral lists this small RNA (785 nucleotides) under Pongo abelii (Sumatran orangutan). RNAcentral's name for it is "retained intron". The record is from RNAcentral. Lineage: Eukaryota; Metazoa; Chordata; Mammalia; Primates; Hominidae.